Molecule: long non-coding RNA, 1235 nt
Organism: Carya illinoinensis
Lineage: Eukaryota; Viridiplantae; Streptophyta; Magnoliopsida; Fagales; Juglandaceae
Exons: 2
Source: RefSeq, a predicted model, not a curated record
UAUAACAUCCUAGAUCUCGGCUUUUAUUUUUGAACUUUCUUCACUCUUUGCAACUACCUACAUAUAUACAUUAUAUAUGCAUUCUUUGUAUCAUCUUUACCGUACAUCCCCUUUCUUCCAUCUAUUUUCAAGCACUUAACCUAGAAGGUCUGGCCCUGGACCAUCAUUGAAGUGGGCACAUUUCUAGGCAUGUUGGCGAUACACAUGCAAAGGUUGACUCGAAAACUCAAUCUCGACGCCCAGAUCAUUUGUCUCUAAGAUUUUUGGGGCUGACUCGAGUUUUGGGACUGGUUCAAGGACAUCAAAAUUGUAAACGAAGACAUUUCGCUAAUGUACCAGUUUAUGCAAAACAUGUUCUCCGUGAAUGUGACCGACUUGAUUUUGCCGGUACCAUUCUCGACUAGGUCAACCCUGGAAAAGCUUUGCGAUUUCAUUGACUCCUGUUCAUUGUGACCGUUGCAUAGAAGCAUAAUGUUGGCUAUGGGGUUCCUCUCCCGUUAAUGUUCGAGUACUUUAGCGGCCUUCAUGAGCGCAUCGUUCAGGCAAGUUCCUUGAUACAACCUAUAGCCUCGAUGACCUUUCUCAUCGAUCUCUGGCCUUUCGUAGUCAUCCUCAUUAGAGGGGUAUUUAUAUCACGGGAAGCAGUUUGACCAUUGCGGCAAUCAAAGCUCCCCACAGUUUGACCGAUGCCUUUCUCUUGAACGCCAGUUGAGUUCGUUGCAUCCGUCAAUUAACUAGAUGAGUUCAUGCACGGCUUCCAAACAUUAAAGAUGAAUGUAUUACACCGCUUCGUAGAAAUACACUUGCCAAUUUUUUUGAGUGUUCAGUUUCCACGGAGACGUAACUAUAUGAUUGGCUUUAACGAAGAGAUUAGACUAUCUAAGGGGAGAGUCGGUGGAUUCCAAGAAGCAAUUCAACGAAGAGAGUUGGAUAUGGUUGACGUUUGAGAGUGGAUGAACAUCCAAUUAAUGCGGUAUUAAUGCCAAGUCAUGAAGUGAAAACUCCGCUUUUAUAUAAUUAAAUAGAUUCAUCUGUACUUAUAUGUUUGUUAUGUUUGAAUUGUCUCUCCUCUUCCGUUUCACUUCUUCCAUUUGGCGCUAUUCACAGUUAACUUUAAAUGGUCUCUUUUGUAUAUCGUUCUCUCAAAUUGGCACAAAAUUUGUAGUAUUCAAUAACUUUAUGGCAAGCGGUAAGACUGUAUGACUAAAUCAAUAAAUGCAUUUAAAUAUCACCAA